UAGGGAAUCUUCGGCAAUGGACGGAAGUCUGACCGAGCAACGCCGCGUGAGUGAAGAAGGUUUUCGGAUCGUAAAGCUCUGUUGUAAGAGAAGAACGAGUGUGAGAGUGGAAAGUUCACACUGUGACGGUAUCUUACCAGAAAGGGACGGCUAACUACGUGCCAGCAGCCGCGGUAAUACGUAGGUCCCGAGCGUUGUCCGGAUUUAUUGGGCGUAAAGCGAGCGCAGGCGGUUAGAUAAGUCUGAANUAAAGCUGUGGNUAACCAUAUACCUUUGGAAANNGUNUGUUUAGUUGAAUGGGGAGGGGGGAGUGGAAUUCCAUGUGUAGCGGUGAAAUGCGUAGAUAUAUGGAGGAACACCGGUGGCGAAAGCGGCUCUCUGGCUUGUAACUGACGCUGAGGCUCGAAAGCGUGGGGAGCAAACAGGAUUAGAUACCCUGGUAGUCCACGCUGUAAACGAUGAGUGCUAGGUGUUAGNNNNNUUUUCNNNUUUNUUGCCGUAGCUAACGCAUUAAGCACUCCGCCUGGGGAGUACGACCGCAAGGUUG
This 547-nucleotide ribosomal RNA is filed under the name uncultured bacterium. Its description in RNAcentral is "partial 16S ribosomal RNA". It matches the Rfam family "Bacterial small subunit ribosomal RNA", at positions 355 to 896 of the family's 1533-position model. The record is from RNAcentral.